Molecule: ribosomal RNA, 422 nt
Filed under: uncultured bacterium
Lineage: Bacteria
Description: partial 16S ribosomal RNA
Rfam family: Bacterial small subunit ribosomal RNA
Source: RNAcentral
UGGGGAAUUUUGGACAAUGGGCGAAAGCCUGAUCCAGCAAUGCCGCGUGUAUGAAGAAGGCCUUCGGGUUGUAAAGCACUUUUGUCCGGAAAGAAAUCCUCUGGGUUAAUACCUCGGGGGGAUGACGGUACCGGAAGAAUAAGCACCGGCUAACUACGUGCCAGCAGCCGCGGUAAUACGUAGGGUGCAAGCGUUAAUCGGAAUUACUGGGCGUAAAGCGUGCGCAGGCGGUUUUGUAAGACGGAUGUGAAAUCCCCGGGCUUAACCUGGGAACUGCAUUCGUGACUGCAAGGCUAGAGUAUGGCAGAGGGGGGUUAGAAUUCCACGUGUGAGCAGUGAAAUGCGUAGAGAUGUGGAGGAAUACCGAUGGCGAAGGCAGCCCCCUGGGCCAAUACUGACGCUCAUGCACGAAAGCGUGGGGA